Molecule: ribosomal RNA, 484 nt
Filed under: uncultured bacterium
Lineage: Bacteria
Description: partial 16S ribosomal RNA
Rfam family: Bacterial small subunit ribosomal RNA
Source: RNAcentral
AUUGAACGCUGGCGGCAGGCCUAACACAUGCAAGUCGAGCGGAUGAAGGGAGCUUGCUCCUGGAUUCAGCGGCGGACGGGUGAGUAGUGCCUAGGAAUCUGCCCGGUAGUGGGGGAUAACGUCCGGAAACGGGCGCUAAUACCGCAUACGUCCUGAGGGAGAAAGUGGGGGAUCUUCGGACCUCACGCUAUCAGAUGAGCCUAGGUCGGAUUAGCUAGUUGGUGGGGUAAAGGCCUACCAAGGCGACGAUCCGUAACUGGUCUGAGAGGAUGAUCAGUCACACUGGAACUGAGACACGGUCCAGACUCCUACGGGAGGCAGCAGUGGGGAAUAUUGGACAAUGGGCGAAAGCCUGAUCCAGCCAUGCCGCGUGUGUGAAGAAGGUCUUCGGAUUGUAAAGCACUUUAAGUUGGGAGGAAGGGCAGUAAGUUAAUACCUUGCUGUUUUGACGUUACCAACAGAAUAAGCACCGGCUAACUUCGUG